Molecule: long non-coding RNA, 359 nt
Filed under: Lotus japonicus
Lineage: Eukaryota; Viridiplantae; Streptophyta; Magnoliopsida; Fabales; Fabaceae
Description: long non-coding RNA (LJAP_LNC001942)
Source: RNAcentral
UCAUAAUGGCAGAAGCAAGAUUAUCCUUACAUUAAUAAUAGCGAAAACAUAGACAAUAAUAUCUAGGUCUGUCACUCAAAUGAAUGUGACAUUGCUACCACAAAGCACUAAAUUGCACAAAUCCCAUUCAACCCUGGAAAAAAAACAUGAAACCUCUGCACAAUCUCAAUCAGUUUCAUAUCAUAAUCACAUUCCCCCCUGCUUGCACGAAACAUGUUAAUCUAAGUCAUAAAAAACAAAACCGACAUCCUUCAUUGCUUGAAAUUCAAAAGCUGGAGGAAAUGUCAGCCGAGUGGAUAAGGUAUGUGAGUACCAGAGCCAACAACAUCAACACAUAUGCAACACCUUGAUCAACAGCC